This 492-nucleotide ribosomal RNA is filed under the name uncultured bacterium. RNAcentral's name for it is "partial 16S ribosomal RNA". It matches the Rfam family "Bacterial small subunit ribosomal RNA", at positions 29 to 507 of the family's 1533-position model. The record is from RNAcentral.
AUUGAACGCUGGCGGCAUGCUUUACACAUGCAAGUCGAACGGUAACAGGCCUUCGGGUGCUGACGAGUGGCGAACGGGUGAGUAAUGCAUCGGAACGUACCCAGAGGUGGGGGAUAACGCAGCGAAAGCUGUGCUAAUACCGCAUGUGAUCUGAGGAUGAAAGCGGGGGACCGAGCAGCAAUGUUGGGCCUCGCGCCUUUGGAGCGGCCGAUGUCGGAUUAGCUAGUUGGUGGGGUAAAGGCCUACCAAGGCGACGAUCCGUAGCUGGUCUGAGAGGACGACCAGCCACACUGGGACUGAGACACGGCCCAGACUCCUACGGGAGGCAGCAGUGGGGAAUUUUGGACAAUGGGCGAAAGCCUGAUCCAGCAAUGCCGCGUGCGGGAAGAAGGCCUUCGGGUUGUAAACCGCUUUUGGCAGGAACGAAACGGUGUCCGCUAAACCCGGGCGCUAAUGACGGUACCUGCAGAAUAAGCACCGGCUAACUACGUG